GCUCAUAUGCCUAUAAAUAGAGGGCUUGGGGAGCUGAUUUUCUAAGAGAAAAAGACGGGGAAACCCUACACAAUUCGCUUUGCACUCGCCCAUACAGUGUAUUUUCCCACUUUUAAACACAUGUGAGCUCAUAUAUAGCCUCUUUUGUACACACAAAAGCCCGUGUUUACCCACUCUAAAGAUAUAGAAGCCUAUUUUAGCAGUCAACUGUAAGCCUUCUCACACACUUUAAAGUCUUUCUCUUCAUCUUUGCACACACCCUUCUACACAUUGAGAGUCGUGUUGCUUGCUUU
RNAcentral lists this long non-coding RNA (293 nucleotides) under Panax ginseng (ginseng). Its description in RNAcentral is "long non-coding RNA (PGIN_LNC002916)". Lineage: Eukaryota; Viridiplantae; Streptophyta; Magnoliopsida; Apiales; Araliaceae. The record is from RNAcentral.